AACGGAAGGAAUUCAUCACCAGCAGACCCGCACGCACUACAGCAAAGGUUAAAGAAGUCCCUUAGGCAGAAGGUCAGUGACACCAGAUGAAAAUAUGGAACUACAUAGAGAAGGAAGAGCAACUGUGUGGGGGAUUCCAGAAUCCCAGCGCUUCCAGUAGGUGAAGUGUUGGUCCAGGGUUGGAAAGAACGUGGAGGCAAGAACAGCCCACAAGUGCUGGGUGAAGGAGGAAGGUCCCGGGGGACGGACCAGCCUUGCCAUCGAGUGUCUGGGUGUAGUGUGUCUCUUUGGCACUCCUUAGGGACAUGACACUGGGCCUCUGACUUCCUGCUGCAAGUCCUUCAACCAUGGGUGAAGCUCUAUUACUAUUGUGUGCGUGUGAGUGGGACCCAUCCCCUGAACCAGCUUCUGCUUAUCAGAACACACUCCAUGCAAGCAAGGCUCUCAUCCUUCUCUCUUGUGGCUGCCGCAGCCUCACAUCAUGCAAGAAAAUGAGCAGCCAUUUGAGGAAACACCUCUAAGGAUGACCUGCUGUGCCCUGAAUGCCAGCAAACAUCUCGCUUCCCUGCACACUGCCAGUUCUGCCUUUGCUUCCAGCUCGCUCAGUCCUGGAAGACGGGGCUGCUCAGUCUGGUGGUCUUUUGCUUCCAGCUUACCACGUUGCCCUUUGUGCUUCUCCUCAUGUCCCAUGCUCUCUUUGACUCCACUCUCAUUGGCCCACUAGGAUGCCAACUUGUGUUUCCAUCCCCUGCCUCCCCAUACCCGAGCCAGUGAUGGGAGAGAGGAACGAGAAUACUGGGCAGUUGCACUGGAGGCCGGCUGCAGAACCUGGUGAAAUGGGAGGGAUGAAGAAGUAAGGAGAGGUUCCAGAAACUCUUGGUCUGCCUGAAGUAGUUUUCCACUAUGAGGAAACAUUGUGCUAGAAUAACCCAGAGAUAGCCCAGCUGGCCAGGAUCCCCUACAAAAGGACAGGUUGCUGGUGGUUGUAUAACCGUAAGAACACACCUAUUAUAACCCACCGAAUCUGCCAGGAGUCAAGGGGACACUGCAAACACCAUGAAAUUCAAACUCCCCAGCUCCCCACCGCACCCCACCUGAGCCCAGCCACUCCUCAGCCUCAUCUCUUUAGACUCUCUUCAUUUCUAUAAGCUCUUCCUUCCGGUAUGGCCACUGAUUUGGCCCACAACUAGUCUGGAUUCCUCAAACUGUCAACAUCAUGAAAGACCCUGUCCCCAAAAAGAAAAGGCAGGGCACUGUUCUAGAUUAAGAGA
Molecule: long non-coding RNA, 1271 nt
Organism: Zalophus californianus (California sea lion)
Lineage: Eukaryota; Metazoa; Chordata; Mammalia; Carnivora; Otariidae
Exons: 3
Source: RefSeq, a predicted model, not a curated record